Gymnodraco acuticeps is the source of this 615-nucleotide long non-coding RNA. RefSeq lists it as uncharacterized. The transcript has 5 exons. The record is from RefSeq and is a predicted model, not a curated record. NCBI's taxonomy places the organism in Eukaryota, Metazoa, Chordata, Actinopteri, Perciformes, Bathydraconidae.
CUGGCUGGACAGGAAGUUUGACUUCAACAGAGGACAUCUAAUUAUGUCCACAUAGAAGAGAUUUCCAUAAAGGCAAAUGUGUUUCCUCUUGUAGUCAAACUGUUUUCUCAAUGUGCUUGUGUUUAGAUGCAGAGAGUUGGAUGUCAUGAUCGCCAUUGGGAAGUUCAAAUACAGAACUGAAACUGAUGAAUUUGCUCAUCUUUGAAUUGCUCUGGAGAAGUACGAACGUAUUUGCUGAAGUAGUGAUUUUCAACAUCCCGGAAAAUGACUUAUCGGUCAUUUCUCUCAAUUGGAUCAUUAGACUGAAGAAGACCAACACGAAUGAAGGGAUUGUCUAAUCGUCGAUUUGUUCAAGGAUAUCAAGAAAAAGCAUCCCAUCCAGUGUGUGGACAAUGCGGAUGGAUUUUCUCCUGUGGUCGUCUACGGUGAUGAAACAUUCGACUUUUAUUAUCAACAAGAUGCGGUGCCGCAGCAUGCUUCUGAAGAAGGCUCCUACAGUUCUGUGCGACCUUUCCGACCUGACCGUUAUGAGAAUGAGGACGCUGCUGGUUUGAGUGCCGGGUUGGACGAAGAACAGAAUCUUCCCAUCCGGUGUGUGGACAAUGCGGAUGGAUU